This 548-nucleotide small RNA is filed under the name Pan troglodytes (chimpanzee). RNAcentral's name for it is "processed transcript". Lineage: Eukaryota; Metazoa; Chordata; Mammalia; Primates; Hominidae. The record is from RNAcentral.
AUAAAUGCGAGGACUCAGAAAGAUGCCACUCAUAUCCUCCCUUCCAGUUUCACUUUAAGAUGUCUUCUAGUGGGACAUAGUUAGAGGUUGAGAGGAACAGCAGUCCCUGUGUUGAUGGAUUGAGGCAGUAACUCGAGGAGGAAGAUUUUCCUGCACAGAACUGCAGAGGCUUGGGGAGAGAGAGGACACACUGGGAUGACUCUGAGAUCCUAACCUGAGUGUCUUGGUGGACAGUGGCCUCACUAAAUGAGAUGGACUAUAAGAAGAGGAACAGAUUAAGGGGACAGUGAUUGGUUGGAUUUUGGGUAGAAUUUGAGCUGUCUUGGGUACUUUUGGCAGAGAACUUGAGUAGGCAGUUGGAAGUAUGCACUUGGAGUUCACAAAAGAACUGUUGGGAGCUGGAGGUGUCGAUUUAUGAGUUACUGGACUGUGGGUGACAGUGGGGCCGAGGGAAGGAUGCGAUUGGCCAAGGCGAGCAUGGAGGACAGGGGCUCUCUACCAGGAAGAUGGGCACUGGCCCUGAGGCUCUUAGGAAGCGCCUCCUAAAG